Impatiens glandulifera is the source of this 439-nucleotide long non-coding RNA. RefSeq lists it as uncharacterized. The transcript has 3 exons. The record is from RefSeq and is a predicted model, not a curated record. Lineage: Eukaryota; Viridiplantae; Streptophyta; Magnoliopsida; Ericales; Balsaminaceae.
CAUUGUUCAUUUUUGUACUUCAAUUAUUGCUUGUAUUUUUGGUAGGCUCAUUCCGAGGAGUUGAGGAAAUAAGCUGCUAGUUUAGCUUGGGAGAAUGACGACCUGAAAAAGGAAAAGGAGCAGGUCAAUCAGGAAUAUGAUGAUCUGAAGAACAUCAAUGAAAGCUUAAAAGUACAGAUCGGCAGAAGGGACACUGUGGAAGAAACCAAUGUAGAACCAAAGUCAACCCCCCCUAAGACAUCCUCUUCUCGAUCUGCCUGUCCUCCGCCUUUUCUAUAUAAUCAACAGCCAUUUUUUUGUCUCCUCUUAUUCAAUUACCAAAUGGGUCACAAAAUGGCAUCUCUGUUGGACCAACACUUCCAACUUAUAAUGUUUCUUCUGAACAAGAGAAUAAUGGUUCUGGAAUUGCAUUAUGUGUUUAUCCAUGUGCGUGGUUCAU